This 253-nucleotide ribosomal RNA is filed under the name uncultured Oscillospira sp. Its description in RNAcentral is "partial 16S ribosomal RNA". It matches the Rfam family "Bacterial small subunit ribosomal RNA", at positions 524 to 776 of the family's 1533-position model. The record is from RNAcentral. Lineage: Bacteria; Bacillati; Bacillota; Clostridia; Eubacteriales; Oscillospiraceae.
UACGUAGGUGGCAAGCGUUGUCCGGAUUUACUGGGUGUAAAGGGCGUGCAGCCGGGCUGACAAGUCAGAUGUGAAAUCCCGCGGCUCAACCGCGGAACUGCAUUUGAAACUGUCAGUCUUGAGUACCGGAGAGGUCAUCGGAAUUCCUUGUGUAGCGGUGAAAUGCAUAGAUAUCACGCAGAACUCCGAUUGCGAAGGCAGCAUACCGGCGCGCAACUGACGCUCAUGCACGAAAGCGUGGGUAUCGAACAGG